GCGGAGGAAAAGAAAGCAACAGCGAUAGCCUCAGUAACGGCGAGUGAAGCGGCUACAGCUCAAAUUUGAAAUCUGGCCUCCUUUGGUGGUCCGAGUUGUAAUUUGCAGAGGAUGCUUUGGCAUUGGCGGCGGUCUAAGUUCCUUGGAACAGGACAUCGCAGAGGGUGAGAAUCCCGUACGUGGGCGCCUGCCUUUGCCGUGUAAAGCUCCUUCGACGAGUCGAGUUGUUUGGGAAUGCAGCUCUAAAUGGGAGGUAAAUUUCUCCUAAAGCUAAAUACCGGCCAGAGACCGAUAGCGCACAAGUAGAGUGAUCGAAAGAUGAAAAGUACUUUGGAAAGAGAGUCAAAUAGCACGUGAAAUUGUUGAAAGGGAAGCGCUUGCAGCCAGACUUGCCCGCAGUUGCUCACCCAGGCUCUCGCCUGGGGCACUCUUCUGCGGGCAGGCCAGCAUCAGUUUGGGCGGUCGGAUAAAGGCUCCUGUCAUGUACCACCCCUCGGGGUGGCCUUAUAGGGGGGGCGUAAUGCGACCAGCCCGGACUGAGGUCCGCGCAUCUGCUA
This 557-nucleotide small RNA is filed under the name Pseudopithomyces maydicus. RNAcentral describes it as "eukaryotic LSU rRNA". It matches the Rfam family "Eukaryotic large subunit ribosomal RNA", at positions 50 to 608 of the family's 3401-position model. The record is from RNAcentral. Lineage: Eukaryota; Fungi; Ascomycota; Dothideomycetes; Pleosporales; Didymosphaeriaceae.